RNAcentral lists this ribosomal RNA (268 nucleotides) under uncultured Planctomycetota bacterium. RNAcentral's name for it is "uncultured planctomycete partial 16S ribosomal RNA". It matches the Rfam family "Bacterial small subunit ribosomal RNA", at positions 565 to 828 of the family's 1533-position model. The record is from RNAcentral. Lineage: Bacteria; Pseudomonadati; Planctomycetota.
AUUGAGCACGUAGGUGGGUUUGUAAGUCAGAUGUGAGAGCCUUCUGUUCAACGGAAGAAUUGCAUCUGAAACUGCGAGUCUUGAGUGUAGGAGGGGAGAAUGGAACUUCUGGUGGAGCGGUGAAAUGCGUAGAUAUCAGAAGGAACGCCGGCGGCGAAAGCGAUUCUCUGGCCUAUUACUGACACUCAGUGUGCGAAAGCUAGGGGAGCAAACGGGAUUAGAUACCCCGGUAGUCCUAGCCGUAAACGAUGGGCACUAAGUAGAGGGG